RNAcentral lists this ribosomal RNA (433 nucleotides) under uncultured bacterium. RNAcentral's name for it is "partial 16S ribosomal RNA". It matches the Rfam family "Bacterial small subunit ribosomal RNA", at positions 29 to 507 of the family's 1533-position model. The record is from RNAcentral.
AACGAACGCUGGCGGCAUGCCUAACACAUGCAAGUCGAACGAGACCUUCGGGUCUAGUGGCGCACGGGUGCGUAACGCGUGGUAACCUGCCCUUAGGUUCGGUAUAACUCCCCGAAAGGGGUGCUAAUACCGGAUAAUGUCUUCGGACCAAAGAUUUAUUGCCUUUGGAUGGGCCCGCGUUGGAUUAGCUAGUUGGUAGGGUAAAAGCCUACCAAGGCGUCGAUCCAUAGCUGGUCUGAGAGGAUGAUCAGCCACACUGGGACUGAGACACGGCCCAGACUCCUACGGGAGGCAGCAGUGGGGAAUAUUGGACGAGGGGCGAAAGCCUGAUACAGCAAUGCCGCGUGAGUGAUGAAGGCCUUAGGGUUGUAAAGCUCUUUUACCCGGGAUGAUAGUGACAGUACCGGGAGAAUAAGCUCCGGCUAACUACGUG